AACGAACGCUGGCGGCAGGCCUAACACAUGCAAGUCGAGCGAGGACUUCGGUUCUAGCGGCGGACGGGGGAGUAACGCGUGGGAAUGUGCCCUUCUCUACGGAAUAGCUCUGGGACAGUGGGAAUAAUACCGAAUACGCCCUAUUGGGGAAAGAUUUAUCGGAGAAGGAUCAGCCCGCGUUGGAUUAGGUAGUUGGUUGGGUAAUGGCCUACCACGCCGACGAUCCAUAGCUGGUUUGAGAGGAUGAUCAGCCACACUGGGACUGAGACACGGCCCAGACUCCUACGGGAUGCAGCAGUGGGGAAUCUUAGACCAUGGGGGCAAUCCUGAUCGAGCCAUGCCGCGUGAGUGAUGAAGGCCUUAGGGUUGUAAAGCUCUUUCAGCUGUGCAGAUCAUGACGGUACCAGCAGAAGAAGCCCCGGCUAACUCCGUG
RNAcentral lists this ribosomal RNA (433 nucleotides) under uncultured bacterium. RNAcentral describes it as "partial 16S ribosomal RNA". It matches the Rfam family "Bacterial small subunit ribosomal RNA", at positions 29 to 507 of the family's 1533-position model. The record is from RNAcentral.